This 564-nucleotide ribosomal RNA is filed under the name uncultured bacterium. RNAcentral describes it as "bacterial SSU rRNA". It matches the Rfam family "Bacterial small subunit ribosomal RNA", at positions 338 to 916 of the family's 1533-position model. The record is from RNAcentral.
CCUACGGGAGGCGGCAGUGGGGAAUCUUGCGCAAUGGGCGAAAGCCUGACGCAGCAACGCCGCGUGCGGGAUGAAGGCCUUCGGGUUGUAAACCGCUUUCAGCAGGGAAGAAAUUGACGGUACCUGCAGAAGAAGCCCCGGCCAACUACGUGCCAGCAGCCGCGGUAACACGUAGGGGGCGAGCGUUGUCCGGAUUUAUUGGGCGUAAAGAGCUCGUAGGCGGUUCACUAAGUCGGGUGUGAAACCUCCAGGCUCAACCUGGAGACGCCACCUGAUACUGGUGUGACUAGAGUCCGGUAGGGGAGUGUGGAACUCCUGGUGUAGCGGUGAAAUGCGCAGAUAUCAGGAAGAACACCAGCGGCGAAGGCGGCACUCUGGGCCGGUACUGACGCUGAGGAGCGAAAGCGUGGGUAGCAAACAGGAUUAGAUACCCUGGUAGUCCACGCCGUAAACGUUGGGCACUAGGUGUGGGUCUCAACCAACGAGAUCCGUGCCGCAGCUAACGCAUUAAGUGCCCCGCCUGGGGAGUACGGCCGCAAGGCUAAAACUCAAAGGAAUUGACGG